Molecule: long non-coding RNA, 1150 nt
Organism: Helianthus annuus (common sunflower)
Lineage: Eukaryota; Viridiplantae; Streptophyta; Magnoliopsida; Asterales; Asteraceae
Exons: 2
Source: RefSeq, a predicted model, not a curated record
AUCAGCACACAACUACAGUACGUCUGUUGCUCUCCAUCUCCUUCACACUACAACACACAGACAAAAGACCAGGGAACUCAUCUCCUUCAUACCCACACCACACAUACAGCUCCUGUAUCUCUCUCUCUCUCUCGAAUCCACCUGUGAACACAAGAUAUUUCACCCACACACCACAACAACCUCCUCACCCUCUCAACCUGCUGGAGCCGACAAUCGGAGCCGGAACCGGAGGCCGGUUUCUUCUCCGGUCGCGCACGACACCCACCCCCCUCGUCUCUCUGAUGAUGGUAACGAGGUAGGACGAAGAUGAUGAUGUGUUGAUGAUGAUCGACGACCAGAAUAGCCGGUGGUGCGGCGGCUACGAACAGAAGAGAGAGGAGCACGGAGAGAGAGAAAGAGAGAGAGAUCUGGUGGAGAAGGAGAAUGACGACAUCGACGGCAGACGGGCAGCUGCGGCGGCGGUGGUGGAUCUCGACGGCAGCUGGUCGUGAUGACACGGCUGCGCCGCUACUCACGGUGGAGGUGGCGAUGGAUUUCGACACCCCCCCUAAAUCGAGUUCCCUGAAUGUGAUUCCGGCUUCUGAUCAUUCCGAUUUGGUAACGAUGGUGGCUGUACUGGUUGACGACAGCCGCACUUCGUGACUUCUCAGGUGGGGUGUGGUUGUUCCGGUUUGAAUUUUAGCUUCGGUUCAAGUCAGAUUUGAUUUGGUUUAACUCGGGUUGACUAGGUCAAACCGAGUCAACUCAUUGUUCGGGUUAGCGACAGUGGAGCCGGAAAACGACAGUGAUGUCGGCUGGAUUGGUGGUGGAUAUCCUCGGAUUGGGUUUCGAUUCACAUUCGGUGUAAGUUUGGUUCAACUCGGUUAACAAAGUCAAACCAGUCAACACGUCAGGUUGACUGGUCAACGCUGGUCAACAGGAGUCAAGGGCAGUCAACAACAGUCAACGGAUUGGUUUCGGGUCAACAGCGGUCAAACAGGUCAAACGAGGUCAACUCAGGACCCGGUAACGACUUAAACAUAACGAGAUUUAUUGAUUUCGUUGUUUUUUUUAGUCUACGCGAACCGAGCUUGAACCGCCGUACUCUAGUUUAUUUAUUUUAGCGUUCGUUAUAUUUUGCGAAAGAUAUAUAUAAUUGUGGUUGGUUUAU